This 341-nucleotide ribosomal RNA is filed under the name uncultured Chloroflexota bacterium. RNAcentral's name for it is "bacterial SSU rRNA". It matches the Rfam family "Bacterial small subunit ribosomal RNA", at positions 29 to 351 of the family's 1533-position model. The record is from RNAcentral. Lineage: Bacteria; Bacillati; Chloroflexota.
AACGAACGCUAGCGGCGUGCCUAACACAUGCAAGUCGAACGAGAAAUCCUGAGCAAUCGGGAGAGUAAAGUGGCGCACGGGUGAGUAACGCGUGGGUAAUCUACCCUGGAGUUAGGGAUAACACUUCGAAAGGAGUGCUAAUACCUAAUAAGAUCCUGAAAACCAUGGUUUUUGGGAUUAAAGAUGGCUGAGGCUUGCAAGCUAUUGCUCCAAGAUGAGCCCGCGUACCAUUAGCUAGUUGGUAGGGUAAUGGCCUACCAAGGCAACGAUGGUUAGCUGGUCUGAGAGGAUGGCCAGCCACACUGGAACUGAGAUACGGUCCAGACUCCUACGGGAGGCAG